RNAcentral lists this signal recognition particle RNA (275 nucleotides) under Rhinopithecus roxellana (golden snub-nosed monkey). Its description in RNAcentral is "Metazoan signal recognition particle RNA (ENSRROG00000002379.1)". The stretch from base 35 to 269 matches the Rfam family "Metazoan signal recognition particle RNA", at positions 51 to 292 of the family's 299-position model. From Rfam's summary of the family: The signal recognition particle (SRP) is a universally conserved ribonucleoprotein. It is involved in the co-translational targeting of proteins to membranes. The eukaryotic SRP consists of a 300-nucleotide 7S RNA and six proteins: SRPs 72, 68, 54, 19, 14, and 9. Lineage: Eukaryota; Metazoa; Chordata; Mammalia; Primates; Cercopithecidae. The record is from RNAcentral.
GCAAAGAAAAGAAAAGAAAAGAAUCUAGGCCUGCAGAAGGAUUUCUUGAGCCCAGGAGUUCUGUAGUGUGUCGUGCCAAUAGUGUGUCUGCACUAAUUCGGCAUCAAUAUGGUGACCUCCUGGGAGCAGGGGACCACCAGGUUGCCUAAGGAGUGACAAACAAGCCCAGGUCAGAAACAGAGCAGGUCGAAACUACUGUGCUGAUCAGUGGUGGGCUCACAACUGUGAAUAGCCACUGCCCCUCCAGCCUGGCAACAUAACGAGAGUCUAUCUAU